Molecule: long non-coding RNA, 638 nt
Organism: Triticum aestivum (bread wheat)
Lineage: Eukaryota; Viridiplantae; Streptophyta; Magnoliopsida; Poales; Poaceae
Exons: 4
Source: RefSeq, a predicted model, not a curated record
CCCACAGCCGCCGCAGCACUCCGCCUCCAUCCUCCUGCUCCACCAUGAGCGCCUCCUCCUCCGGUUCUCGCCUGGGCUCUGCCUCGCCCCCUCCCCGCCCCGGCCUCUUUCUUCUUGACCGGCAGCCGCUGCAUCUCCUCACCGGGAGGAGUGACGGUAGCGGCAGGUAGAGGGGUGAGCUCAACAGGAGCAGGGGAUGGUGCUCCACCACCUAUACGCGCUCCGUUGCCGGCUCUUCCUCCUCCCAUCCCCUCACGCCGCCGGUGCCGGAUCCCGCUUCUGUGCCGUCCCCUUCGCGCAGUCCUCCGCGCCGGCCGGCCACUACCGGCGCAUCACCCUGAUUAUUGAAGCGAUUGUUAAGGAUUGAAUGUUCUAUUUGUUACUGUCCAGAUGAGUUCGUCCUGUGCUAGAAGGUGUGUGGGAUAUAGGAGAUACAAGGAGAGAUAUUUCAGUUGCAAUCCAGCUUUAUUUCAAUGUAAAACAUGGUUCUACGAUCUCCUGUGUUGCUACAUCUUGAUCUCCUGCAUUGUUGUAACUCUGUUCUGCUGCUCGAGGUUUGCUUCCUUUCUGACGUAAUCUCUAUCUGGUUUGUUUCUUGUCCUGUGUGUGAUCAUAUUAGGCCUCCAGGAUCUUGUGCU